GAACGGUUCAGGUGGGAGAAUCUGUUGACAACCGUCGGUCUCAGGAGCCACAAAUCCGGCAUCCGAGGAACGUCGUGGUGGAAGAAAGCUGUAACGUAAAUUGUGAUUUGUCCCUCGUGUGCAAAGAUUCUCCUGGAUCCUGCAUUCGGUUCAACGUUUUGCACCAAAGGGACUCGCUUCAGAGAAGAAGGCACUCCUCGCUAUGCGUGAAGACACUCAUCCCACGGAGACAAAAGGAAGUGUUUGGGUAGAUAGACGAUAGAAAUCUAGCUGUUUCAGGCUCCGUAGAGUGGCCAGUUUUUCUCGCUGAACCCGCCUGAUUCUUCCGAACCGACUGAGGGUUUUGGUAUCUUUUCAUUUAGUCAAACAGGUUUCUGUUCACAGAUCUUUUUCCCUCUCUUCAUCCUCAUCCACAUUUUUCAGGAGUGUGGCAUUGCUAAUAAACUGCUUUUAGCUCGUGUC
Molecule: long non-coding RNA, 462 nt
Organism: Xiphophorus hellerii (green swordtail)
Lineage: Eukaryota; Metazoa; Chordata; Actinopteri; Cyprinodontiformes; Poeciliidae
Exons: 3
Source: RefSeq, a predicted model, not a curated record